Drosophila mauritiana is the source of this 1023-nucleotide long non-coding RNA. RefSeq lists it as uncharacterized. The transcript is spliced from 4 exons. NCBI's taxonomy places the organism in Eukaryota, Metazoa, Arthropoda, Insecta, Diptera, Drosophilidae. The record is from RefSeq and is a predicted model, not a curated record.
UUUGAGCACGUUACACAACACUAAGUAAACUGUAAUUUCUAACACAAAAAAGGUAAACAAACCAUUAAUAGAAAACAAUGACUUGGUAAUGUAAAGUUUUGGAUGUUGCAAUACCAAGGCGGAACCUCUAUUGCCGGCUACAGCCGGCUGACCUACUGUGAACACUUAAACACACACGCAGCAUUAUUCAGCGUUUAUCGUUGACUUAUACCGGCAGUGCAUAAACUUUGGUCGUACCUGAACUCGUACAAGGCCACCUAAUCUUGAUGAACUUCAUAAGGGAAUAAGGGACGCACAAAAUAGAGUGAACCCAAAUAGACGGCGGGAAACCCAAAGUGCGUCUCGCUCUUUUUCGAUUUUCCUGUACUUCUGGUUGUCUACCUCUUUCUAAUCCGCGCACAGUUCACAAAAGUAUUCGGCUUUGCAAGCGGCAACUGUUGAACCACCAGGAUUGGAUGUCGUCGUAGAACUGUGUCUUGUGGCCAAAUGCGGGAGCAUGUAGCUUGGCGCAAAGGUCGCAAAACGGGGAGCUGUAGGCCAAGCGGUAGUGGCUGCGCCACCAGAAGUAGCUUACAUACAAAUCCGGAUCUGCAACCACGAGCUUCAUAUACUGGGCCAGCUCUUCCACGGACUUGAAGCGAUUAGCAUCGACGUAAGAGUGCGGAGGCAGGAUGCGGGAAUAGUCCGCUCCGCCGAAAACCACGGGUAUUACGGUCCGUUGCAGUGCGUCAAAAAGUUUCUCCGUCACGUAGUCGUCGCACAGCGAGUUUUCAAAAGCCAGGUAGAAAAAGUAAUCAGUGUCUAACAUCUCGUCGCAGUGCGGAUCCCCCCGGAUGCAGCUGAAAUUGAAUUAAUAUUUAGAAAUAAACUUUCACGAACUUGAGGGUGGAUAUCAUAGCCUACAAAUAUGCAUAUGCCUUUGUUUAAGAAAUCUGCGUGCGUUUUGCUUAAUAUUGUUGUUCACCUGAAAGAACCUCACCUGAGUGUUCCGCAAUUUCCGUAAAUGUCCACGUCAAAAAAUUC